GAUGAACGCUGGCGGCGUGCUUAACACAUGCAAGUCGAGCGGGCAAUUUAUCUAGCACUGAUUACUUCAAAUGGAAAUCAUAAGUGUAAUCAUGAAUUUCUACCUUUAAUAAAGAAAAAAGAAAUUCAUGUACGCAAAUAGUGAUAACACAUUUUAGUGGAGUGAUGAGUGCUGGAUAAAUUGCUAGCGGCGGACGGGUGCGUAACACGUGGGUAACCUGCCCCUAUCACUGGGAUAACACACUGAAAAGUGUGCUAAUACCAGAUAAUAUAAGCUUUUGGCAUCAUUAGCUUAUCAAAGAAUUUCGGAUAGGGAUGGGCCCGCGUCUGAUUAGCUAGUUGGUGAGGUAACGGCUCACCAAGGCAACGAUCAGUAGCCGACCUGAGAGGGUGAUCGGCCACACUGGAACUGAGACACGGCCCAGACU
RNAcentral lists this ribosomal RNA (427 nucleotides) under uncultured bacterium. RNAcentral describes it as "bacterial SSU rRNA". It matches the Rfam family "Bacterial small subunit ribosomal RNA", at positions 28 to 337 of the family's 1533-position model. The record is from RNAcentral.